UACAGAGGUCCCAAGCGUUGUUCGGAUUCACUGGGCGUAAAGGGUGCGUAGGCGGUCGGGUAAGUCUGAUGUGAAAUCUCACAGCUUAACUGUGAAACUGCAUUGGAUACUAUCCGGCUCGAGGAAUGGAGGGGAGACUGGAAUACUUGGUGUAGCAGUGAAAUGCGUAGAUAUCGAGUGGAACACCAGUGGCGAAGGCGAGUCUCUAGACAUUUCCUGACGCUGAGGCACGAAAGCCAGGGGAGCAAACGGG
Molecule: ribosomal RNA, 253 nt
Filed under: uncultured bacterium
Lineage: Bacteria
Description: partial 16S ribosomal RNA
Rfam family: Bacterial small subunit ribosomal RNA
Source: RNAcentral